GGGAGUAAAAGUCGUAACAAGGUCUCCGUUGGUGAACCAGCGGAGGGAUCAUUACUGGAAUCGCAAGAUCCCACAACCCUGUGAACCUACCGAAACGUUGCCUCGGCGGGUGCCCGGCCUCUGCGCCGGGCGCUGCGCCCGCCGGCGGCCCCCUACUCUGUCUCUGCAGCGUGGCAUCUCAGAGUCCCAGAAAACAAGUCAAAACUUUCAACAACGGAUCUCUUGGCCCUA
RNAcentral lists this unclassified non-coding RNA (231 nucleotides) under plant metagenome. RNAcentral's name for it is "partial contains small subunit ribosomal RNA and internal transcribed spacer 1". The stretch from base 1 to 54 matches the Rfam family "Eukaryotic small subunit ribosomal RNA", at positions 1778 to 1831 of the family's 1831-position model. The record is from RNAcentral.